CGGAAGCCCACAGGUCCACGGGCCCAACAAGAGGAUAUUGAGCAGAUUGGGCCGUUGGAAAGAAACUAUAAAGUUAAUAAAAUUUGGAAACUUGAGGGAUAUAAAUUGAAAUGGAUUUGGGAAAGAAUAAUGUGAUUAUAAAGAUUGUAAGUAAACAAAAUUAAUAUAGAAAAUAUAAAUUAAAACAAGAUAAAAAACCAAAAGUAAAAUGAAUUAGAACACUAAAAUUUACUAAAAAAAUACUAAAAAUCAAGACUAGUAAUUAAAAUUAAUAAAUAUAAAAUUUAAGUAAAACAAAUAAUUUUCUUAAAAAUCUAAGGGAAAUAUCAAUAAGAAUUCAAAAUUAUAGUAACUAAAUAGGACAAAUUAAAAUAAAUGUGAAGAAAGAAAAUAUUAAAAGAGUCUAAAAUUUAAAUAAUAAAGUAUCUAGUUAAAUUUAGAUAACUUAUUUUCUUGGAGAGAUAUUGAGAUAAUAAGGGAGUUACUAGGCUUUAAGUGUGGUAUUGGGUUCUAGUUUGGGACGAGGUUUAGUUGUUUGAGGAUUCUGAAUUAGUUACUAUUCAUAGUCUUGGGACUCAAGGACAUGAAUGAUUGCAAUCAGAGUGAAAAUUGUGAAAUGGUGACCGAUGAGUAUUGAGUGAUUGUAUGUAUUCUUUUACAUUAUUUUAUUGUCAUUGAUUAAUUUCGCUUCCACCCUUAACUAGUUGGUGACCUGGUGCCCUUUUUAAAAUUAAUGUAAGCAGUUGCGCACACAGAAUUGUAAUCAGUAAAACCUAAUCUAUGUUUAAAAAUUGAUAAUAAAACUUAAAGAUGUGGCUAGUCCUAUGUGUGUGUGAGAGAGAGAGAGUUUUGUAAACCUAUUGAAUAUGGUAUUGAGCAUCAUUGAUAAUUGAAUGAGUUAUGUAAACACAUUGAAUACGGUAUUGAGCGCUUAGUGACGGUUGUAUUGUUAUUAUAAAGAUUGUAUAGUAUGGAACUAUGGUUUUAUUGAUAUAUUAUUGUUUUUAUUUAAUUUUGCAUUAAGG
Molecule: long non-coding RNA, 1025 nt
Filed under: Carica papaya (papaya)
Lineage: Eukaryota; Viridiplantae; Streptophyta; Magnoliopsida; Brassicales; Caricaceae
Description: long non-coding RNA (CPAP_LNC009840)
Source: RNAcentral